This 98-nucleotide ribosomal RNA is filed under the name Klebsiella pneumoniae. RNAcentral describes it as "partial 16S ribosomal RNA". Lineage: Bacteria; Pseudomonadati; Pseudomonadota; Gammaproteobacteria; Enterobacterales; Enterobacteriaceae. The record is from RNAcentral.
ACUUAAAUUGAAGAGUUUGAUCAUGGCUCAGAUUGAACGCUGGCGGCAGGACUAGCACACGCAAGUGGAGCGGUAGCACCGAGAGCUACAUGUCGGGG